UUUAACUGGAGGAAGGUGGGGAUGACGUCAAGUCCUCAUGGCCCUUAUGUCCUGGGCUACACACGUGCUACAAUGGCGGUGACAGUGGGAAGCCAGGUAGCGAUACCGAGCCGAUCUCUAAAAGCCGUCUCAGUUCGGAUUGCACUCUGCAACUCGAGUGCAUGAAGGUGGAAUCGCUAGUAAUCGCGGAUCAGCAUGCCGCGGUGAAUACGUUCCCGGGCCUUGUACACACCGCCCGUCACACCAUGGGAGUUGGUUUGACCUUAAGCCGGUGAGCGAACCGCAAGGACGCAGCCGACCACGGUCGGGUCAGCGACUGGGGUGAAGUCGAACAAGAGUCAUGCUC
Molecule: ribosomal RNA, 346 nt
Filed under: Komagataeibacter saccharivorans
Lineage: Bacteria; Pseudomonadati; Pseudomonadota; Alphaproteobacteria; Acetobacterales; Acetobacteraceae
Description: bacterial SSU rRNA
Rfam family: Bacterial small subunit ribosomal RNA
Source: RNAcentral